This 75-nucleotide transfer RNA is filed under the name Acidobacteriota bacterium. Its description in RNAcentral is "tRNA-Gly". It matches the Rfam family "tRNA". From Rfam's summary of the family: Transfer RNA (tRNA) molecules are approximately 80 nucleotides in length. Lineage: Bacteria; Pseudomonadati; Acidobacteriota. RNAcentral also lists the same sequence under 4 other names. The record is from RNAcentral.
GCGGGUGUAACUCAAUGGUAGAGUGUCAGCUUCCCAAGCUGAAAGUUGCGGGUUCGAGCCCCGUCACCCGCUCCA